ACCGGAUAGGACGAAAGUUUAAAGGUGCUUCUGGCACCGCUGAUGGAUGAGCCUGCGGCGCAUUAGCUAGUUGGUAGGGUAAAGGCCUACCAAGGCGACGAUGCGUAGCCGACCUGAGAGGGUGAACGGCCACACUGGGACUGAGACACGGCCCAGACUCCUACGGGAGGCAGCAGUAGGGAAUCUUCGGCAAUGGGCGAAAGCCUGACCGAGCAACGCCGCGUGAAUGAUGAAGGCCUUCGGGUUGUAAAAUUCUGUUAUAAGGGAAGAACGACUUUAGUAGGAAAUGGCUAGAGUGUGACGGUACCUUAUGAGAAAGCCACGGCUAACUACGUGCCAGCAGCCGCGGUAAUACGUAGGUGGCGAGCGUUAUCCGGAAUUAUUGGGCGUAAAGAGCGCGCAGGUGGUUGAUUAAGUCUGAUGUGAAAGCCCACGGCUUAACCGUGGAGGGUCAUUGGAAACUGGUCGACUUGAGUGCAGAAGAGGGAAGUGGAAUUCCAUGUGUAGCGGUGAAAUGCGUAGAGAUAUGGAGGAACACCAGUGGCGAAGGCGGCUUCCUGGUCUGUAACUGACACUGAGGCGCGAAAGUGUGGGGAUCAAACAGGAUUAGAUACCCUGGUAGUCCACACUGUAAAGGAUGAUAACUCGCGUUCGGCGAUACACAGUCGGUGGCCAGGCGAAAGCAUUAAGUUAUCCACCUGGGGAGUACGACCGCAAGGUUGAAACUCAAAGGAAUUGACGGGGGCCCGCACAAGCGGAGGAACAUGUGGUUUAAUUCGAUGAUACGCGAGGAACCUUACCCGGGCUCGAACGGUGCAUGAAUAUACGAGAGAUUGUAUAGUCCUUCGGGACAUGUAUCGAGGUGCUGCAUGGUUGUCGUCAGCUCGUGCCGUGAGGUGUCGGCUUAAGUGCCAUAACGAGCGCAACCCUUGUCAUUAGUUGCCAUCAGGUCAAGCUGGGGACUUUAAUGAGACUGCCACCGUAAGGUGUGAGGAAGGGGGGGAUGACGUCAAAUCAGCACGGCCCUUAUGUCCGGGGCGACACACGUGUUACAAUGGGAGGUACAGAGGGCAGCUAUCCGGUGACGGAAUGCUAAUCUCCAAAACCUUUCUCAGUUCGGAUUGGAGUCUGCAACUCGACUCCAUGAAGGUGGAUUCGCUAGUAAUCGCGCAUCAGCCAUGGCGCGGUGAAUACGUUCCCGGGCCUUGUACUCACCGCCCGUCA
Molecule: ribosomal RNA, 1224 nt
Filed under: uncultured bacterium
Lineage: Bacteria
Description: partial 16S ribosomal RNA
Rfam family: Bacterial small subunit ribosomal RNA
Source: RNAcentral